AACGCGAAGAACCUUACCUACUCUUGACAUCCUGCGAAUCUGACUGAGAGGUUGGAGUGCCGAAAGGAGCGCAGAGACAGGUGCUGCAUGGCUGUCGUCAGCUCGUGUCGUGAGAUGUUGGGUUAAGUCCCGUAACGAGCGCAACCCUUAUCCUUAGUUGCCAGCACGUAAAGGUGGGAACUCUAAGGAGACUGCCGGUGAUAAACCGGAGGAAGGUGGGGAUGAGGUCAAGUCAUCAUGGCCUUUAUGAGUAGGGCCACACACGUGCUACAAUGGCCGGUACAGAGGGAAGCCAACCCGCGAGGGGGAGCAAAACUCAGAAAGCCGGUCGUAGUCCGGAUCGGAGUCUGGAAUUCGACUCCGUGAAGUCGGAAUCGCUAGUAAUCGCGGAUCAGAACGCCGCGGUGAAUACGUUCCCGGGCCUUGUACACACCGCUCGUC
This 441-nucleotide ribosomal RNA is filed under the name uncultured bacterium. RNAcentral's name for it is "bacterial SSU rRNA". It matches the Rfam family "Bacterial small subunit ribosomal RNA", at positions 958 to 1398 of the family's 1533-position model. The record is from RNAcentral.